Molecule: long non-coding RNA, 7575 nt
Organism: Cephus cinctus (wheat stem sawfly)
Lineage: Eukaryota; Metazoa; Arthropoda; Insecta; Hymenoptera; Cephidae
Exons: 8
Source: RefSeq, a predicted model, not a curated record
GCGAACGUGGCUGGAGUUCGUUCCAGUAUAGAGCAUGCACGGUGGCUGGCUCGUUUUUUGCUGGAUUCAUGCGGUGCCCAUUCGGUGCUCUUCCACGACAGUUCAAAAGAGGUGCAGCAGAAACCAUCCUGCGUCUCCAGGAAGUCAAAGAUCUCUGAACAAUCCUGGCUUCUGGAAUCAAACUUACAGGAAACGAAAAUAUCCUCGCAUCUGGGCGUCAACUGUUUUACAUGGAAGACAAUAUUUUCAUUACACCCAAUAUCAACUUUAUAAGUUUCGUGCAAAUCCAGCCAAAUUUUGACACUGCACGCAAAUUCCACGCAAAUUCAUGUAUCUCUACGGAUACGAUAUACUAUAAAAUUACCUCCUGGCACCCUAUGGACAAUGGUAGUGAUAAAUAUCACCGUAUAUCAUAUUACGAGUCAUUUGCAAUUAGUGAUCGAGCUAUACGAAAUACAAGCGUUGCUCUCGUUAGACUUUUAAUAGCAUUAUUCCCAUCGGUAUUUGCGAGACCGAUAGCGGCGGCAUUUAUCAAUACAAAAUUUGCACGAGUCGCGUACCUAUUAACGUCUGCGAUUUUAAAAUCGCAAACAUGAAUAAAGCCCUUUUUUGAACGUAAAACUCUUACAUGUUUCUCGCUAGUCUCGUCGCAGCUUCUCGACUUAUUCGAUUUAUGCUGCAUACAGCUACUCCUGGAGAAAUUAAUAUUUUAGGAAAUUCUAUCAAAACGGCGAAUACCUUGGUUUUAUCUUACCGGGAAAUUGCAGAUUAUACGAUGGAUAGUAAUGAGUGUCCAGUGUCGUUACUAUUGGACUUUGGAGAUACUGCCCAUAGAUUGUAUACACGGUGUGUCCAAGAUGCAGUAGGACUUAUCAAUCACAUUAGACGACACGUAUCCUCAUGAAAUACUCAGGCUUUCCCUAUCAGCCAAUCAAAAGAUCAUCAUGAACUUCCCAUCAGUUUGUCAAUAUUAAAUGAUAAAUAACAGGAAAUGAGAAUUAUAGCCAUUACACUAGUGGCACCAGGUGUCUCUAAGUUAGAUGUUUAAACCAGAAUAAUAGCCGAGCAAUCAUCUUCGACUGCCUCUGAUACUUUAUUUCUUUUCAUAGAUCCAUUUGCGGUUUGCAGUUUAUCAAGCGGAAAUGGCAAGAAUAUCCCACGAUUGACCGUUGUUCAGUGAUCGUGAACAGAGAACUGCACUUGGGAAAAAUGGUGAUAAAUGGUACAAGCAUUUGUAGGAUACUGUCACUUAUCUGCCAUGCAUCGGCCUUAAACCUUGACCCAGAACAAGUAAUCUAACCUUAUCUGAAAAUACGUAUCUGGAUUGCCUUGCGUGCAGAAAGUGGCGCUGAUUCAAAUGAAGACCACGCACUGUCAGUAUCAAGCGAUCAACUACACCCUGUGUGUUGGAAAGCUGCACUUUUUCACAGAAUGCAAAUGUGUCAAGUGGAUUAAUUAAAUAAUACGUUCAGCAAGAGUAUAGCCUGGAGUUUGUGCAAACUAAACUGAUGAUGCAGGAAAACCAAAGAGAGGACGAAUUAAUUUCACUAAAUUCUCCUACUAUUGUCAUUGAAUAUGAAAUGCUGUUCACUAUAAAUAUUCAAGCUGCUGACGUCACGUUAGAAUCUGAGACUUUCUUUAGAAACCUUCUCGACAGUGAAAAUUCAAAUCCGGCCUCUUAUUCGGACAAAUUUUGAAAUCUGAUAUUGGGCAUCUUCCGUUGAAGACAUUACACGUUGUAAAACAGAGGAACUGCGCAGUUGGGAUUCAUUCGAAGGUAUUUUAAGCAUUCGACUCUACCAAAGCAACGUCACAUAAAUCUCCAAAGGGUGGAAUCACACGCGGCACAAUUCAUUCUAUAAAACGUGCUCAACCGGUCUACCUAACUGAACAGGACGAACCGGAGUGCCGUCACUGUGAAUCCAGCAUAAAUCGAGGAAAACUCUGUGGCUUUCGUCCCGGUAGAAUCGGCCGAUUACCCGAUUAACAUAAAUUAAUCAAAUAACAUUCGGAGAUAGUCGUAAGCGACGCUUCGGUUUACCGGAAGUUAUAUUAUAUCAUGGCGCUGACAGUAGCUAUACCUAUCUGCGUAUAAAUAUUAUUAUGUUAAAGUGCAGGGCACCAUGAUAAUACGUAUACGUUACUGCACUUUAUUAUUUAUACAUUGAAAGAGCAACAAGACUGCUCCGUAUCAAAAGCUAAUGGCUGUAUGGAUGAGCGUCGGAGAAUUUCCGGCGCAACAAUAGGAAAAUCCACCGUCACGCCAUGGUCGGGCAUUGUUGGAUAAUAAAUCGAAUCGACGAAAUAAGCCAGAUAUUUUCACGGGGCUCGAUUGGCUCCCGCUAUUUUUCCAUUAUUCAAAGACCCCACGGGAAAUUGAUUCCGGGCGAUUAGGUAUCGCGUAUACAGAAGACAGGCUUUGGAAGGAGCCUAGAUCUUAAAAUGGUGGUUGGACUCGAGUGCAAUUGGUGCGAGAGUUGGCUGUCUGGGGCAUAAACGCUUUUCAAAAAUUACACCCUUCUCGACGUCCCGCCGCCAUUCUACUGCUUACAUUUUUUUCUUUUCUUCGACGGGUUUUUCGUACCAAGUACUUUUCAUCGACAUGGCUGAUAAAGAUUUCCUCAGAAACGCCCUCAUAAUUCUCCUUCCUCGAUUCAUUCAGCUGGCAGCUUUCGUUUGACGUCAGAAAUUCCUUUUAUUGGCUUUGUAUUGAAAAUGGCGCGCAUUUCAAAUUUGUCAGACGUUAUUAAGCGAUAUUCAUCCUGUCCUACAGUCAGGGCGAAUCGCGGUCUGCCGUAUGAACUGGGUCAACUGUGUACCUACCUCAACUCCUACUCAACAGUAUUGAAUAACGCCAUUGAAGUACUCUAGAUAACCUUAGCUAUCUACUGUUACGUGAUUUUUUUGACUUACUUCGAUCCCCUGGGGAAGCAGCCGUGGAGGAUCUACCGAUUUGUUACGUACCGAUUCGCUAAGAAAUGCUUUGGAUUUAGUUCGAAGGGACGACUCUAGGGAAAGAAUAAGAGUUAUCGGCUAUAAGGAUCUCGACCAAUCAGAAUCAUUAAUCUUCGAAUUUGACUAUUUUGAAAGUCAGUCUGUCUUCGGACACCGAUCGGGGUGCCUCGAGCUGCCUCGCGCUCCCUUUGCUGUCUGUUGACAGUUUUUCUAGCCGUCUUUCCUAUACGGCAUAGAAAACUCUCACUUGUGUAGUUCUCGCGUUGCUCUCGCAAUACAUAUACAGAAAAUCCUAUCGAUUUUCUGCGCGUGUUUCGAAAGUGCAGUGUUGUGCUAUAGUGCAGUGGUCGACCCGAGUGUCCCCUGGAUGCAGUUCUCAGCCUUCACGGAUCAGCCGAUCCAGCUCCGGUGAGCACUCCCAAUUUAUUAGUUGGUGGAGGGAUUUCGAUUUUAUACCUCGGAUUCGUUCUGUUACGUUCUCGAUCAAUUUUUACCAAAAUACGUUACGAUAAAUAUUAAUAUUUUCAAUCGAAGCUGCAUUGCAAUCUGGCUGUCGUUCUUCCGGCCACUUUCAGCCUCCAGCUUCUAGGUUCUCUCCUCUUGCUCUUCCAAUCUGUUCCAAAUCUCUUGAUCUUGUCUGAUCUCAUCUCAGCUGUCAAUCAGGGUAAUAGCCAAUUUUGUAAUUAAUACUUCUGAACAGAAUGAUUUAUGGCGUAAUACACAUCUGGGUCACGGCCAGUUUGAAUUCCAUUCUCAUUAUCUCUAUUGUGGUCCAGAUUUGUUGGUCUUGGAUUCUGUAUAGAUGAACUCUCUAAACAGAGUCUCGGCUCUAUCGUUGGCCUUUAGAUUUCAAUUGACAAAACUCCACAAAAGUACAAUAAUUAUGAAUUUUAUAAACGUUAAUUAAUGUAUCAAGAUUAUAUAUAUUUGGUACUUUGAUAUCGAGUACAGAUAUAAUUAAUAGCAUAGUUAAUUAAUCCAGGAUCGAAAUUGAAAUAUAUUUCUAAAGGUAAAAAUUAAAUUGAAUUACAUACUUAAACGAUAACGUAAAGCAUAAGAAAAUUUAUUAUAAAAUUUUUAUUAUUUCAUUAAGUGUUUUCGCUUAUGUUUAUAUGCUCGUUUAUAUUGAAAAAUUGAUCUAGUAUUCCAUUACGGACAUUUACCUCGGAACAGGAAGUUAUUGCAAAUUUACGACACUAAGUUUCCAAAAGUUUCAAACAACUGACAAAGUUUCGUAAGGAGAUUUUAAUUACAUGCUUUUCAACGAUAUCGGUUCUUUUUUCCUUCCUUUCAGCCAACAAACUCGAUUGUACGUAAUAGUCCCGUUAUGAAGAGUCAAGGGGAAAAGGAACUCGUAAAAUAAACUUGAGAAUUAAAAUCAAAGUUAAAAAAAUCUCAUCGAAGAUCAUUUCGAUUGGCUAUUAAUUAACGUGAAAUUUUAUUUCACGCAAACGACCAACGUAUUUAAUUUCUUCGUCCCAAUCUUGAUCGCUAGAGUUAUUUUUUUUUCUUAAUCCACAUAUGGGAUAAAAGAUUCAAAAAGAAAUCUUUUCCUCUUCGUCGUUGCCAUAGCAACGUCUUGGACUGAAAUGAACGUAAAAUAAAACGAGGCUCAGCAGUCAGUAUGUAAAUGGGUAUUUGAGCUUUGAGCACAAAGUCGAAAGCUCUGGCCAGUAAGUGUCGUUAAAGCUUCGGUAUACCCGAGUGACUCGGCAAGAAUCGAUCCGAGCAAAAUGCAAAGCAAAUGGCCAUGAGAAAAUUCCAAUAGUUUUAAGCCCUGAACAUUUGAAUAUCAUAGUGACGCGAUACCUCGCGUCCUACGUAUUCAUACCACGUGUAGUCGCGUUCUUUACGCGUUAUCCCGUAAUGGAAACCGGCAACGUCUUUUCAUUCCCAAAUAAUUCGGCCCAUCGGGUUCGGUAAUUUCCUACAGAAAUUUCAGACCCUUUAGAAACUUCUAGACAAGUAACAGCGUUGUUGGUUCUCUUGCGUAACCAUGAUCUACAUUACAUGAGAAGUUUGCGCUAAGGCACAUUCGUAACUUUGUCCUGGAACAAUAACAAAACUCGUGCCAUCCGUCUUUCUAUGUAAAAUAAAAAAACUGAAAAACAUUUCAAAAAAAAAAAAAAAUUUAAUUAUAACGAGGAUUACAUUGAACGGCAAAUCAACGAAGAAAAAAAAUUUUCGUUGAAAUUUUUUUCGUUCGAAAUUUGAAUUGCACCGAACCAAAGGACUUUGGUGCGAGUUGAGAAUAAAAAUGAUAUUAAAGGAAUACAAAUUGCGAGGAAGCGCCCGCUCGUUGCCAUAACAGCUCACUUGCGAAAUUCUGCUUCGCAAAAGUAUCGUAAUUGCAUUCCGCGACCUUUUUUUUCCCCCCUAAUGGAAGGUGCUAACCACCGGCUGCAGCCCACCUUCGCUCCGUGCAGUCAAAGUGUAUUCUGCAAGCUCGUAAAAGCUUGUUGCUCAACGUACGGCUUGACAAAAUACGAGAACAAAAGAAAGAAAAACAGCAGCGGUCCCGCAAUCCUUUUACCCAUCAUUCGUCACGGCACAACUAGUGCGCGGGCCGCACCGAAGCCAAGAGAGUAAAAUAUAAAAUGCGAGACGCAGCACAGAUUUCGCUCGGUCGUUAAGACAAACUCGAUUACGAUUUUACGAGACGUUCGUUUCAUCCAAAACCCACCGCACUCGUCAGGGCAGACCCUGCAAAUCUUUUUGGAACGAUCUCACGAAUCCACUGCCAAUUGCCAACCGGCCCCGAUAAAGAUCUGCGUCUGCGCCUAAUAUAACCUCAAAAGUAAUUAAAACCACACGUGUUCGAAAGACAGAUGGGAAAGGCUACAGAGAUUUCAUCGUUGCAUAGAAACAAGCCUUAAGGCGGACAAGUGUUUUUUAAAAACAUAGAUGCUAAAUAUAGUACCUGGUAAAGGAGAAGGAUAGACGUUUCAAUUGUACCGUUGAAGCAUAUAGCGAGAGAGAAGCGAUAUAUCUUUUUUAAUAUUCCAGUAGCAGUAGAAAAAAAAAGAAAGAAUUUGCGUAACAUAUUCAAAUAUAAUAAUAUACAUUGCGUAUCGUCUAAACGAAACCCACGGGCUCCCAGGAGGAAACUCUUUGAAAAAUGUAAAACGUUGAAACCGUCAAGAUGGAAUAUACAUGUGACUUUAAGCCGUAACCGUCACCGCGUUACGUUUUCACGUGAUGAUAUGGUGCAUUCGCAAGUAACUGCGACUCGAGCGACGGGAUAAAAUUUUUAUACUCCGUGGACCAACUUUUCUCUUUGUCUUAUCGAUCAAUUCCACCCGUUGUCUUUCUUCCCGGCGAAACAACUUUUAUGUGACCAAUCUUAUUAUCCCUAUCGGAACACCGGAAUACCGCUGACAAUAUUCUUACAAUCUAAUCAUUUUUCUUCGGGCAUUCCUUACCUAUCUCUGCUCCUCCUUUAUCCAGGGUUCCUCUAUACUAUUUCGACAAUCCGAUUCCUCCCAUAGAGAAACUCUAGGAUAACGAGCGAGUAAGAGGUAACGUCUGAAGCACUUUAGCAAACUACGUUUCUCCGGAGUUUCAGCUUGGGGCGAGUCUUCGACUUACUAUACUAUAGUUAUACGUGUAUGUAUAAUAAUAAUUAGUUACAAGGAAGAUAAUUUAAUACCGACCAUCGCACUAUGGAUACACGAGCCAAGGACGAUACGUGCUACAUGGAAUCCUAUAUUGUAAUAUAAUAUUAUAAUAAUCAUACAUUAUCAGUACCAGGGAUGCUGUCUGCUAAUUCCAACCACAAAACUUACACGACAAAGUCUUGAGGAGAAAUGAAUCCCAGGAGUCCUGUGUCUCUUCGAUGAGAAAUUUAAUUUUCUCGAUAGGAGCUUCCCAGCGGCUCUCCUACAGGAAUAAAGGUAUCCUUACCCAAGGACUCCACAUGCAAACAGAACUUGAUCUUUUAUCUAUCCUAUUGACGGUACUACCUUCAGUCUGGCGAAACUCUGGCGAAACAUCAAUAAAACCCACGCAGUCCCAUGACCAUCGACGCUACCAGCUCGUUCGUUACCUUCCCCUUGAUCCUUCCUCUUCUAUGACAAACUCCUCUUCUCUGCCUUCUUUAUACCCGUCAAGAAAAUCUUCCAGGAGAUACAUUUCUCCUGAUCUCCACUAUACCUUUGUCAAUCCUGUACAAAAUCCUUUGGAAGAUAAAAGUACGUAGUUCAUCCUCUACCCGUACCCUUAGAAUACCUAGUGUCAUCAGACUCUUUUGUUCCUCCAGCUUCCAAACGGUCCAUUUAGCCGUAUCACUUUCAGAGCAAUCCGGUCCAUAGGUCUCAGGGAGUGCCUGAGGACUAACAAAUGGUUUUCUGAAAAAUCGGAAGGACCAAAUCGAGUGCCCCUGUAGUCACGAAUGGGACAAUUUCCCUUCUGGUGGCUCGUUCAUCCGUGUCCCGCUGACGUACAGGAUGGGAUUUCUCAUCUUAUAUCGUUAACAACAUAUCUCCUACGGGGAUGUCGACCGGACGUCAGUCAAUCGAAGACCCGAGAUUACGUUCAACCCGAAAGCCUUGCGCAGCGCCUGAAUUCCCUAAGCAAAAAAAAAGUCUCAUCCGUCAAACGGCCCGAAACACUUAUCGGAAC